CCCCCCCCCCCCCCCCCGCCCGGGGCCCCUGAGCUCAGUGCCUGGACCCCCCCCCCCCCCCAGCCCGGGGCCCCUGAGCUCACUGCUGCCUGCCCAGUGUCUUCUCUUCCUGCCCCUCUUCGCUGCUGCCCCUUACCACCCUCCCGCUUUUCCCCCUUUGGGUGCAACACACACAUUCCAGUCCCCGGCCUGUGCGGCCCUCAAACCCAACCCCGUUGUUGUGAUACCCCCCCACGUACAUGCACACAUACACACAUCCCUUGCACAUUCAGGAUGCCCCUGUAAUGGCAGCCCCCCACUCCCUAGGGAGGAGACCAGCUGCAGGCGUCCUGGGAGCGCUGGGGACACGGAACUCGUCAGGCCCACUGAUCUCCUGGGAUCUGUGUGUUUGUGAAUUGAUCCCACUGUCUUUUCCAUCGGGGGUACCCCUGACCCCAACAGAACAAUUUGGGAGAAACUACAUGAAAACUUGUGAUUUCGUCCCCCGUUGCUCCUAUUACUCAGCACUGCACCCCAUUGGGAAGAGGCUUUUGUUCUUCAAAGCUAGAAAUAGACAGGGGGACCGCUUUGAAGACAUUUUCUUCAGACUUCGUUGAGAAAUUCCAAGUUGAGAGAAGCAGGGAUGUGAAUAGAGUCCAUGGUUAUGGAGGAUGGGCUGAACGGAAACAAAACUGGGAACAUAUAUUUGUAGUCUAACAGCAGCUGUGGUGGGUCAUUUCGUUCUUGCAAAUUUGCCUAUGAGGUUUGUGUGGAAAAAAUAAAAGUGAUCUUGCUUCAAGCAGUGAACAGACCUUGCCCCCAGAGAUGCAUCCAUGAUGCUGUAUAAGUAGCCAGGAAUUUUGCAGCAGAGCAACACAAGUUGUAAAUUCCCACAAAGUGAUGGAAAGUGCUGCCCACUCAAGUCCAGGAGUGAGAGAGUGGACCUGGACACUGAAUAUGACUCCCUUGUGUAGCAGCACAGACUACCAGCAACAUGCUUGUCCUUUUAUCUAGUGCACCAUCACGACUGAGAAGAAUGUUAAACAUUAGCUACUAUUUUCCUGCUUUCUCUUUUUGACAUUCAAGAUACCAUGGCACUCUUCAGAAGAGUAGGGAAUUUUCCCUAGUCACCUGGUAAAAAUUUCCCCACCCUCCACCAAUGUGCUGUAUGCUGGGUGGCAGUCUUCCAUCUCAGAAGUGGUUGCAUUUCAGUGAUGUCCUACAUUCCUGUAUCCUACCAGCCUUAUUUGCAGGACUAGUCCCAUUGAGAAAACGAACACUUGAGCGCUCAGAUUCUAUACCGAUAAGUAGAACUCAGCAAUUUUUUUUUUUUUGGUGAACAGUAAACCAAAAGGUUGCAAAUUUGACAUGAAAUUGCUGAAUAGUUUCAGCCAAAAUCUUUGUUUUCAGGACUGAGAUGCCAUUCACAAAAUGGCUGGAGGCUGAGACAAUGGUAGUGCCUGCCUUGUACAUUUUAGCCCAGUGCACUCACUUAAGAUAUGGAAUAGGAGCCAGGUUCAAUUGCCCCCUCUAUCUGAUCUGAAGAAGGGAUUUAAACUUUGAUCUCACAGCAGAAAAGUUCCCUUACCCCGGGGCUAUUGGGUAGUCUGGAGUGAGUCUUUCUCAGUCUCUCCCGUUGAAGUGGUUCCACUUUGUAUAAAUAAUUAGUCAUUGGAGGUUGGGACAAAGACAGAGUGAGAAUGACUAUUCAGGCAAGUGGUUAGGGCACUCUUCUGCAAUGUGGGGCGCCCAAGUUAAAAUCACUUCUCCAUAUCAGGAUUAGGAGGGAACUGAAUGUCUCUCUCCCACAUCCCAGGAGAGAGCCGUAACCACUAGGUUAAUGCUUUGAAGGGAGAUGGCACCAUCACCCCAACCUUCCUCCUUUUAAGGAUAUCUGGAAACAAAAUGUUUCCUUCGACCCAAAGCAAACUUUUUCAAUUCACCAAAGUUUUUCGGAGUUUCCAAAUUCGAGCAGACCCACAUUUAUUUUGUUGGUUUUUUGGAACUGCCAGUGACCUGAUAAAUAGUUAUUCGCCCAACUCUACUGAUAAGGGCCACGUAAAUACCUACAUAGAAGUGAACAGAGCUCAGGUUAUAAUUUAUUAAAUGAAUUGGGAUCCUUUAUAAUGAAGGGUUUUACAUGCAUGUAAAGAAUUAUUACUCAUUUUUAUCAUUACUGUAUAUUAAAGCAGAAUAAAAAUGCUUUCUGGAUUUGA
Molecule: long non-coding RNA, 2195 nt
Organism: Chelonia mydas (Green sea turtle)
Lineage: Eukaryota; Metazoa; Chordata; Testudines; Cheloniidae
Exons: 3
Source: RefSeq, a predicted model, not a curated record